AUUGAACGCUGGCGGCAUGCUUUACACAUGCAAGUCGAACGGUAACAGGGUGCUUGCACCGCUGACGAGUGGCGAACGGGUGAGUAAUGCGUCGGAACGUGCCGAGUAGUGGGGGAUAACGCAGCGAAAGUUGUGCUAAUACCGCAUACGUACUGAGGUAGAAAGUGGGGGACCUUCGGGCCUCACGCUAUUCGAGCGGCCGACGUCUGAUUAGCUAGUAGGUGAGGUAAAGGCUCACCUAGGCGACGAUCAGUAGCGGGUCUGAGAGGAUGAGCCGCCACACGGGUACUGAGACACGGCCCAGACUCCUACGGGAGGCUGCGGUGGGGAAUUUUGCACGAUGGGCGAAAGCCUGAUCCAGCCAUGCCGCGUGUCUGAAGAAGGCCUUCGGGUUGUAAAGGACUUUUGUCAGGGAGGAAAUCCCUAGUGCUAAUAACACUGGGGGAUGACAGUACCUGAAGAAUAAGCACCGGCUAACUACGUGCCAGCAGCCGCAGUAA
Molecule: ribosomal RNA, 500 nt
Filed under: uncultured bacterium
Lineage: Bacteria
Description: partial 16S ribosomal RNA
Rfam family: Bacterial small subunit ribosomal RNA
Source: RNAcentral